UUAAUUAUUUUCUGGGAUAAUUGGUUGUUAAUGUUUUUGCUCUUAGAUAAGCAGAAAAUAAUUAACAGUCUCUGGUUGGUUAUUCAUACUUAGGCACCAAACUGUGAACUUCUGAAUAAUUAAUCACUCUUUUCCAUUAAUGAGUAUCCCCUGUGGAACUGUGAGUAAAUAUGUAGCUAUUUGUAGAGACAUGAACAAGAAUCACUAGUUAUUUUUGUGUUUCCUACAGAAAAAGAAAAGUUGUUAAUUUGUGAUUUCUUCACUUUCAAUGAGUUCUGCUCAAAAAAUGCCCUGUUAUAGAACUUCUUCCCCACAGACCUACCUUCUUCUUGGGGCAGUCAGUGGUGCACAAGUUCUAUUAACCUGUUUUUUAAAGGUUCAUGACAAGAUGUUCUAUAUUGAAAUUCGAAAUAUGUUCCUCGGAAAAAAGCAUAGAAACUUCUGUGCUUGAGAUUCAAAGACAAAAGAAGAAAUUAAUUAUUGCAUAAAGGGCAUAACUCAUUUCUCUUUUGCCAUAGAAAAAAUAAGUCAGUUAUUAGAGACACUGUAAAUACAGUCACAAAAGCAAAAAAUGCAAUAUUAACAGUUCUCUGCAAUACACAUGUGGUUGAUGUGUUGUUGACCUGAUCAUACAAAAUUUAAGCUUCUCCUUGUAAUUAUUUGAAUUUUGUCCCUUGGCACACUGCUGAUGUGUAGCAUUUUAUGUAUCUGGUUGUUCACAGGUGUCCUACUACUCAGUGGUAAAAGAGGGAUACAGUGAAAAACUUAGUUUUAAAGUUUGUUUCUACCAAAGUUUGAGCUCUCUGAUCUUCAGCAAGUCUUCCUUUGAGAAAGUUGCUCAAUUUCUCUUCUUCAAUCUUUCAAUUGUACUUGGGGCUUAAAUAUUAAUGAACAUAUUCCCUCUGCUGUUCUUAGUGAACUCCUCAAAUAUUGCUGCAGCUACCAUGUAAACUUCAGAAUGGUACCCUUCUAUUUCUCCAGCAGUUAAUAUUAGUUUUCUUAAUUGUUUUCACAAAAUAGAUAAUAAUCACUUUCACAAAGUAGUUUAUGAUUGUUUUUGUUGCCUAGUAAACCUCAAAAGUGGCUGCAGUACCUAAAUAUAUCAUUCAAGCACUUUAAAAUCCUUUAUUGUGAAAAGUACAUAUUUACAUAAAGUGUAAUAGUAUCGUUACCUUAAUUUUGUAAUGUAACCUCCUUUUAAAAAGACAAAAUUUAAUGUCUUUGCAUUUCAUUGAAUGCAUUAUGGAAAACUUUUACUCUUGGGGGUAUGUUUGCAUCCUUGAAUUUGUCUUUCAACUGAGGACAGAAGUUAAUGUUUCACAUUUUUGCUAAAUAUUUGUAGGAAUAGUUGCAUGCUAAAACAAGUGUCACUGGCAGUCAUGCAAUUCAAGAAGUACAUUAUAACAGAGAUGGGUGAGUUUUUGUGAGCAAUACUAAUGCUGCACUGCUAGUGUUAGUCCUAUUAGAGGGUGGGACUUAGAUGCAGGAAAGUAUUUUUGUUAUUUGUAUCAGAUGUAAGGUAACUGUUUCAAGAAAAUCUGGUAACAGUUUUAGGAAACAGCACUUCUGUCAGGAGCCCAAACUGUAGUACAGAAGGAAAUACAUGACAGAAAUCAAUCUGUGCAGAAAUCUCAUUUAACUGUGCAUCGGAAAUAUUCUACUUUAUUUUUUUUCCCCUAGAUAAUUCCUUACUUUUCUAAGGGUGGAUAUGACUGCCCAAGGCCUACAGAAAGUCUAAAAAACUCUGUGCAAAGGUAACAUCUUCAGAAGUGGGUACAGAGUGGAUGCAGAAGCUCACGUGAAUGUGAUGACAGCUCACCUUUAAGUCUUUCAGUGGUAUUUCCAGGUAUUUUUGUAUUGCAUGUGACCAUAUGACUUCAAGGUCUGCUAAUACAGCCGUGAGGGAGCCACCAGGUCCUGUGUGGAGAUUCAGCUGCCCUCUUCUAAUAGGCCAAUGUAUAUUAUAAGAAUCUAGUGGAUUAACAUACAGUGCCUGAAAAUAGGAGACAGUGUCCUAUGGAUUGCUCUUCCUAAAAGAUUAGGUACAAGUACUUGAAAAAUAUUUCAGAAGCAGAUACAACAGACAUACAGCAGCACUCAGACUGAUAUGAAAACAACUAAGUGGAUUUAUUUUUAACAGGGUUGUAUUAUAAAGCAUUAAAAUAAAAAGACAUUAAAUAAAUGUUUUAAACUGUUUUAAUGUUCACA
Long non-coding RNA from Apus apus (common swift), 2208 nucleotides. RefSeq lists it as uncharacterized. The record is from RefSeq and is a predicted model, not a curated record. NCBI's taxonomy places the organism in Eukaryota, Metazoa, Chordata, Aves, Apodiformes, Apodidae. The transcript has 2 exons.